UACGUAGGCAGCAAGCGUUGUUCGGAAUUACUGGGCGUAAAGAGUGUGUAGGCGGUGCUCUAAGUCUGUUGUGAAAUCUCCCGGCUUAACUGGGAGGGUGCGGCGGAAACUGGAGUGCUCGAGGGUGGGAGAGGUAAGCGGAAUUCCUGGUGUAGCGGUGAAAUGCGUAGAUAUCAGGAGGAACACCGGCGGUGUAGACGGCUUUCUGGAACGCAACUGACGCUGAGACGCGAAAGCGUGGGGAGCAAACAGG
This 253-nucleotide ribosomal RNA is filed under the name uncultured bacterium. RNAcentral describes it as "partial 16S ribosomal RNA". It matches the Rfam family "Bacterial small subunit ribosomal RNA", at positions 524 to 776 of the family's 1533-position model. The record is from RNAcentral.